Alligator sinensis (Chinese alligator) is the source of this 678-nucleotide long non-coding RNA. RefSeq lists it as uncharacterized. The transcript has 6 exons. Lineage: Eukaryota; Metazoa; Chordata; Crocodylia; Alligatoridae. The record is from RefSeq and is a predicted model, not a curated record.
AAGGCGAGGAGGGCAGCAGAGAGGGAGACUCCCAAUGACUGCAGAGCAGCUGCGGCAGCCUCCUUCAGAGGGAUACGCCACGCUGUGAGACAGAAGCGCGAUCACACUUCCCCAGAAAUUGGAGACUCAUGCAUCCCAGCCUUCAGCCUUGCUUUUGGCAUCCUCCUCUGAUGUAUGAUGAGUCAUCAGAGAACGCUGUUUAGGACUGCAGAUAUGAAAUCUAAGAUUAAACCUGUGAGAAUAUCGUAGAAUUUUACUAUAUUUCAAGGGCUUUAGCUUUUAAUAUGAAACACUAUACAGAGCGUGCAUACAGCAUAUUCAACAUAAAGGACUUGCUAAAUACCCACAAGAGAAACUGGUUCAAAAUCUCUCAAGACUGAGUUAAGACGCAGACUGAAAAACUACAAACAAGUAGGAAUCUCCAUCAUCCCUUGGAAACCUUGGAUUAAUGUACACUGAGGCCUCUCAUGGUAUUAAGUUCUGCAUGACCCUGUGAAAAUAGUUAUGCACACACUUUUCAGCUCCUGAUUUAGAAGGUUUGCAAGGUUUAGAUCAACAUAUUCAAACAAUAUACAAAUCAGCACUGCUGUUGCACGUUAGUAUGAGGAGCUCAAUGCCUGCACUCUGUAGACCGUUUAAGCAUUCUUUUUGUAAAAAUACCUCUAGGUACCAGGCGGC